RNAcentral lists this microRNA precursor (109 nucleotides) under Pteropus vampyrus (large flying fox). RNAcentral's name for it is "miRNA (ENSPVAG00000027326.1)". The record is from RNAcentral. Lineage: Eukaryota; Metazoa; Chordata; Mammalia; Chiroptera; Pteropodidae.
GCCGGGUGCCGACUCCUGUAUAGCGACCUGAGACCUCUGGGUUCUGAGAUGGGGUGUCUGGGGUCUUGGUUCAAAGCCGGGGUCUCUGGGUCCGUGAGCAGCAGCUAGG